RNAcentral lists this long non-coding RNA (228 nucleotides) under Carica papaya (papaya). Its description in RNAcentral is "long non-coding RNA (CPAP_LNC010707)". Lineage: Eukaryota; Viridiplantae; Streptophyta; Magnoliopsida; Brassicales; Caricaceae. The record is from RNAcentral.
UAUCGGCGUAUCAAUAACACUUUCUAUUAGUGCAGAAGCACCCAACACCAUAUAAAGGACUACCCUCAGCAACCAAAGGAUGUAGCCCGACCGUAGCACAUGGUCGAGUGUACCACUUAGAUGAAUCUGAUGCCCUUUCUACUCCUGUCCUCAUCUAGGGUAUGCUUUCUAUUCAUAAUACUUCUACUAAGGCUUUGAUCGAUAUGGGUGCAACUCACUCUUUUAUUU